GAUGAACGCUGGCGGCGUGCCUAAUACAUGCAAGUCGAGCGAACAGAUAAGGAGCUUGCUCCUUUGACGUUAGCGGCGGACGGGUGAGUAACACGUGGGUAACCUACCUAUAAGACUGGAAUAACUCCGGGAAACCGGGGCUAAUGCCGGAUAACAUUUAGAACCGCACGGUUCUAAAGUGAACGAUGGUUUUGCUAUCACUUAUAGAUGGACCCGCGCCGUAUUAGCUAGUUGGUAAGGUAACGGCUUACCAAGGCAACGAUACGUAGCCGACCUGAGAGGGUGAUCGGCCACACUGGAACUGAGACACGGUCCAGACUCCUACGGGAGGCAGCAGUAGGGAAUCUUCCGCAAUGGGCGAAAGCCUGACGGAGCAACGCCGCGUGAGUGAUGAAGGUCUUCGGAUCGUAAAACUCUGUUAUUAGGGAAGAACAAAUGUGUAAGUAACUGUGCACGUCUUGACGGUACCUAAUCAGAAAGCCACGGCUAACUACGUG
Molecule: ribosomal RNA, 497 nt
Filed under: uncultured bacterium
Lineage: Bacteria
Description: partial 16S ribosomal RNA
Rfam family: Bacterial small subunit ribosomal RNA
Source: RNAcentral